AAGGUAAAUCGGGCAAUUGCUCUGCUGAUGUUUUGCAUUGGCGGAGAGGAAAGUCCGGACAUUCCCCUGGUUUUAUACUAGGGAGCAGGGUAGCGGCUCCGACGCUCGAAAGGGUGCGGAGUUCCGACAUUGAAAAAUCGUCGGAGGUAAUGCCCGUCAUGGGGAAACCCAAGAGGUGCGAGCAGAGACGUUUUAUUUCGAAAGAAAUAAAAUAUCCCCCUCACGAGGGAUAAGCUCUUAUAGUAAUAUAAGAGGUGAAACGGCUAAAUCCUUACCUGAAUGCAAGGUCGUACUCUGACGUUAUGUCAGGGGGUGCCGCUUGACUCCGACGGUAACGUCGGAGCUAGAUAAAUGAUUGCCACUCCGACCUUGCGUCGGAGGACAGAAUCCGGCUUAUAGAUUUGCCUUGGUA
Molecule: RNase P RNA, 412 nt
Filed under: Candidatus Moraniibacteriota bacterium
Lineage: Bacteria; Candidatus Moraniibacteriota
Description: RNase P RNA component class A
Rfam family: Bacterial RNase P class A
About the family: Ribonuclease P (RNase P) is a ubiquitous endoribonuclease, found in archaea, bacteria and eukarya as well as chloroplasts and mitochondria. Its best characterised activity is the generation of mature 5'-ends of tRNAs by cleaving the 5'-leader elements of precursor-tRNAs.
Source: RNAcentral